UUCGGCUUUUUGAGCGAAGUGGAACUACCUCUUCCCAUUCCGAACAGAGUCGUAAAACGCUUUAGCGCCGACGAUAUUUUUUGGGCAACCUUACGAGAAAAUAGGUCAAGGCCGAAA
Molecule: ribosomal RNA, 117 nt
Filed under: Candidatus Woesebacteria bacterium
Lineage: Bacteria; Candidatus Woeseibacteriota
Source: RNAcentral